AUUGAACGCUGGCGGCAUGCUUUACACAUGCAAGUCGAACGGCAGCACGGGAGCAAUCCUGGUGGCGAGUGGCGAACGGGUGAGUAAAGUAUCGGAACGUGCCCAGUCGUGGGGGAUAACCUAGCGAAAGUUACGCUAAUACCGCAUACGAUCUAUGGAUGAAAGCGGGGGAUCGCAAGACCCCGCGCGAUUGGAGCGGCCGAUAUCAGAUUAGGUAGUUGGUGGGGUAAAGGCCCACCAAGCCGACGAUCUGUAGCUGGUCUGAGAGGACGACCAGCCACACUGGGACUGAGACACGGCCCAGACUCCUACGGGAGGCAGCAGUGGGGAAUUUUGGACAAUGGGCGAAAGCCUGAUCCAGCCAUGCCGCGUGCAGGAUGAAGGCCUUCGGGUUGUAAACUGCUUUUGUACGGAACGAAAAGGACUGCCCUAAUACGGUGGUCCCAUGACGGUACCGUAAGAAUAAGCACCGGCUAACUACGUGCCAGCCGCCGCGGUAA
Molecule: ribosomal RNA, 500 nt
Filed under: uncultured bacterium
Lineage: Bacteria
Description: partial 16S ribosomal RNA
Rfam family: Bacterial small subunit ribosomal RNA
Source: RNAcentral